AUCACACAUUGAGUACCUGACUUUCAUGUGAAAUCUGAUACUUCUUAAAUAACGACGAAUCCCCUUUUCCCAUUUCUUUUUUGACCAGAAGAGUAAAAAAAUAAAUAAAAUGGUGUCAUCCCCUUAAGUCAGGCUCCCCUCACUUUCACAUUCACGUCUCUCUCUCUCUCUCUCUCUCUCUCGAGCUGCCAUCCCUCUCCCUUUCUCUCUCUCUCUCUCUCCCCAUGGUCUUCCACUAAAAAUACUUCAGCCAUGAGUUUCUUUUCAAGCCACCACCACCGGUUGUGAAGAAAAGAUUUUGGGAAGAGAGGGACUCAUUUGGCCAAGCAAGGAAUUUGAGGUUCCGAGAUUUUUGAUGAUGGACCUAGUGAUGGGAUUGGUUGAUUUCAUGGUGCACAGUUGAGGUAAAAUUGAUUGGCCUUCUGAGGUCUUUUGAAAACAAAAGCAGGUUGAUUUGGAGAAGGAAGAGUUGUUUCACAACUUAGCAUGAGAAGAAUUGCCAACAUUGUUGGUCGAUCCGUUGCAUCUUCUUGCACACAUAAGAGCCCAAUUUGAAUGCAUCUCAAGACUUCAUGAGAAACAAUUGACUCAAUAAUCGAUGAAUCAACUAUAUCCAAGGCUCUAUCUUCUGUCCAUAGUUCCCAGACCUGUAUGGUUUAUAGCAUUAUCCAAAAGGGGUUGUAUUAUAAAUGCAAAUGGAAAAAGAUUGUUGUUUUUUUGCUACUUACAUGCCCUAUCAAAGUUAGGGAAGGGUGUGUUUGAUAAGAAAUGUUAUUCUUCUUGCCACUAAUGAUCUCCAACAAUACGACACCAAAACUAAAGACAUCUGAUUUUGUUGAGAAUUUUCCAAAUAUUACAUACUCUGGUGACAUAUAACCACUGCAUGUGAAUAGUAUUAAAAAUAGAGUUAAAGUUUGCAUAGGCCUUCAUUUUCUAUAUGUGUGGAAAGUGUGCAAGGCUUUGUGUGCAUAUGCAUACUUACUAUGUUCCGAUAACUCUAGUUGUCUUGUCUUGAAUUUGGUCCCCUUUGAAUAUACGAGCUAUCCCGAAAUCUGAAAUUCUAGGAUUCAUCUCACCAUCUAGGAGAACAUUGCUAGUUUUAAGAUCCCUAUGUAUAAUUCUUAAUCUUGAGUCUUGAUGAAGAUACAAAAUCCCACGAGUGAUCCCAAUAAUGAUUUCAAGGCGUUUCCCCCAAUUAAGCAAUGAACUUCUU
Long non-coding RNA from Quercus robur (English oak), 1213 nucleotides. RefSeq lists it as uncharacterized. The transcript is spliced from 3 exons. NCBI's taxonomy places the organism in Eukaryota, Viridiplantae, Streptophyta, Magnoliopsida, Fagales, Fagaceae. The record is from RefSeq and is a predicted model, not a curated record.